GAUGAAGGAACGUAGCGAAAUGCGAUAAGUAAUGUGAAUUGCAGAAUUCAGUGAAUCAUCGAAUCUUUGAACGCACAUUGCGCCCCCUGGUAUUCCGGGGGGCAUGCCUGUCCGAGCGUCAUUGCUGCCCUCAAGCACGGCUUGUGUGUUGGGCCUCCGUCCUCCUCCCGGGGGACGGGCCCGAAAGGCAGCGGCGGCACCGCGUCCGGUCCUCGAGCGUAUGGGGCUUCGUCACCCGCUCUUGUAGGCCCGGCCGGCGCUUGCCGACACAUCAAUCUUUUUUCCAGGUUGACCUCGGAUCAGGUAGGGAUACCCGCUGAACUUAAGCAUAUCAAUAAGCGGAGGA
This 346-nucleotide unclassified non-coding RNA is filed under the name soil metagenome. Its description in RNAcentral is "partial contains 5.8S ribosomal RNA, internal transcribed spacer 2, and large subunit ribosomal RNA". The stretch from base 1 to 121 matches the Rfam family "5.8S ribosomal RNA", at positions 35 to 154 of the family's 154-position model. The record is from RNAcentral.